GACGAACGCUGGCGGCGUGCUUAACACAUGCAAGUCGAACGGUAAGGCUCCAGCUUGCUGGGGUACACGAGUGGCGAACGGGUGAGUAACACGUGGGUGACCUGCCCUGCACUUCGGGAUAAGCCUGGGAAACUGGGUCUAACACCGGAUAGGACCGCACCGUGAGGGUGUGGUGGAAAGUUUUUUCGGUGUGGGAUGGGCCCGCGGCCUAUCAGCUUGUUGGUGGGGUAAUGGCCUACCAAGGCGGCGACGGGUAGCCGGCCUGAGAGGGUGGACGGCCACAUUGGGACUGAGACACGGCCCAGACUCCUACGGGAGGCAGCAGUGGGGAAUAUUGCACAAUGGGCGGAAGCCUGAUGCAGCGACGCCGCGUGGGGGAUGACGGCCUUCGGGUUGUAAACUCCUUUCACCAUCGACGAAGGGUUUCUGACGGUAGAUGGAGAAGAAGCACCGGCUAACUACGUGCCAGCAGCCGCGGUAAUACGUAGGGUGCGAGUGUUGUCCGGAAUUACUGGGCGUAAAGAGCUCGUAGGUGGUUUGUCGCGUCGUCUGUGAAAUUCCGGGGCUUAACUCCGGGCGUGCAGGCGAUACGGGCAUAACUUGAGUACUGUAGGGGAGACUGGAAUUCCUGGUGUAGCGGUGAAAUGCGCAGAUAUCAGGAGGAACACCGGUGGCGAAGGCGGGUCUCUGGGCAGUAACUGACGCUGAGGAGCGAAAGCAUGGGGAGCGAACAGGAUUAGAUACCCUGGUAGUCCAUGCCGUAAACGGUGGGCGCUAGGUGUGGGUUUCCCUCCACGGGAUCCGUGCCGUAGCUAACGCAUUAAGCGCCCCGCCUGGGGAGUACGGCCGCAAGGCUAAAACUCAAAGGAAUUGACGGGGGCCCGCACAAGCGGCGGAGCAUGUGGAUUAAUUCGAUGCAACGCGAAGAACCUUACCUGGGCUUGACAUAUACAGGAUCGCGCCAGAGAUGGUGUUUCCCUUGUGGCUUGUAUACAGGUGGUGCAUGGUUGUCGUCAGCUCGUGACGUGAGAUGUUGGGUUAAGUCCCGCAACGAGCGCAACCCUUGUCUUAUGUUGCCAGCACGUUGUGGUGGGGACUCGUAAGAAACUGCCGGGGUUAACUCGGAGGAAGGUGGGGAUGACGUCAAAUCAUCAUGCCCCUUAUGUCCAGGGCUUCACACAUGCUACAAUGGUCGGUACAGUGGGUUGCCAGUCCGUGAGGGCGAGCUAAUCCCGCAAAGCCGGUCUCAGUUCGGAUCGGGGUCUGCAACUCGACCCCGUGAAGUCGGAGUCGCUAGUAAUCGCAGAUCAGCAACGCUGCGGUGAAUACGUUCCCGGGCCU
This 1341-nucleotide ribosomal RNA is filed under the name uncultured bacterium. Its description in RNAcentral is "16S ribosomal RNA". It matches the Rfam family "Bacterial small subunit ribosomal RNA", at positions 28 to 1381 of the family's 1533-position model. The record is from RNAcentral.